Athene cunicularia (burrowing owl) is the source of this 256-nucleotide long non-coding RNA. RefSeq lists it as uncharacterized. NCBI's taxonomy places the organism in Eukaryota, Metazoa, Chordata, Aves, Strigiformes, Strigidae. The record is from RefSeq and is a predicted model, not a curated record. The transcript has 3 exons.
GGUUCACAGUCAGUUUUUCAUCCACCAAUACUCCCAGGUCCUUCUCCACAGGGCUGUUCUCAAUCCACUCAUUGCCCAGCCUGUAUUUGUGCCUGGAAUUGCCUUGACCCAUGCGCAAGACCUCGCCCUUGGCUUUGUUAAACUUCAUGAGGUUUGCACAGACCCACCUCUUGAGGCUGUCAGGGACCUUCUGGAUGGCAUCCUUUCCCUCCAAUGUGUCAACCAUACCACAUAGCUUGGUGUUGUUUGCAAACUU